AGAUUGAACGCUGGCGGCAGGCCUAACACAUGCAAGUCGAGCGGCAGCACGGGUACUUGUACCUGGUGGCGAGCGGCGGACGGGUGAGUAAUGCCUAGGAAUCUGCCUGGUAGUGGGGGAUAACGCUCGGAAACGGACGCUAAUACCGCAUACGUCCUACGGGAGAAAGCAGGGGACCUUCGGGCCUUGCGCUAUCAGAUGAGCCUAGGUCGGAUUAGCUAGUUGGUGAGGUAAUGGCUCACCAAGGCGACGAUCCGUAACUGGUCUGAGAGGAUGAUCAGUCACACUGGAACUGAGACACGGUCCAGACUCCUACGGGAGGCAGCAGUGGGGAAUAUUGGACAAUGGGCGAAAGCCUGAUCCAGCCAUGCCGCGUGUGUGAAGAAGGUCUUCGGAUUGUAAAGCACUUUAAGUUGGAGAAGGCAGUUACCUAAUACGUAUCUGUUUGACGUUACCGACAGAAUAAGCACCGGCUAACUCUAGUG
This 485-nucleotide ribosomal RNA is filed under the name uncultured soil bacterium. RNAcentral describes it as "bacterial SSU rRNA". It matches the Rfam family "Bacterial small subunit ribosomal RNA", at positions 26 to 507 of the family's 1533-position model. The record is from RNAcentral.